This 795-nucleotide long non-coding RNA is filed under the name Nicotiana benthamiana. RNAcentral's name for it is "long non-coding RNA (NBEN_LNC028845)". The record is from RNAcentral. Lineage: Eukaryota; Viridiplantae; Streptophyta; Magnoliopsida; Solanales; Solanaceae.
CAAAUCAACCAAAACGCAGCGAGUCAUCAUAACACAGUAAAAAUAAGAAUGAAAAUUGAGAAACAUAACUUUUAUUGAUGAAUAAAAUUAAAAAUUAUAAAUUAAUCGGGCAAUGUCGAUAACAACUCGAACAACCACUUCAAAAUAUAUGUUGGACCUUGGACCGGAAAACCUCGACAGAGGAUAUGAUGCUUGAAAAAUUAAUUUUCCUUUACCGGAUGAAAUGACUUUACCACACAACUCCUUAACAUGGAGUAGCUUAUUGUUUCUCAAUUUCAUGAAUUUCACUAUGUCUUUAUCUUAUUUAGCUGGAAGAUAGUGACAACAUCAUCAUCUAAUAACCGCUGCCAAAUUUAAAUCCUAGUAUAAGAAGCAAAAGAAGACAAAUACCAAUAAUUCCACCAAAAGAUUCUCUUCAAAAGUGAAACGUUAACAAUCACAUGUCACCACUCCCAACUCUUCUUAUCACAAGCUUAAGCUUCAGCAAAUCCCAAUCCAGAGAGCUUCGGAAUGGCGGCAUGUUAAUGAAAGGUUUUCUAGGAAAGGCCUUUAAGCUUUUUGUGUUGGAAUUUAAGGGGGCCAAUUAGAAUGGAAUUGAAGGAGGAAGAAAAAAAGAGAGGUUGAUGGUGAUAGGAAUUUGUUUAGGUCGUUAUGGAUUUUUGAAUCCGAGAUGAGAUUGCAUGUAGGAAAAUGGAUUGUAGAAAUUCGAUUCCAUUUGCAGAAAAUUGUUUUCUUGGUCAAUCAAAAGGAAUAUGCCGUUUUAGCUUAGAGUUCCUAGGUCUUACGUCUAGAAUU